AUAUUGGACAAUGGGCGAAAGCCUGAUCCAGCCAUGCCGCGUGUGUGAAGAAGGCCUUCGGGUUGUAAAGCACUUUAAGCGAGGAGGAAUGGCUCUAGGUUAAUACCCUUGAGCAGUGACGUUACUCGCAGAAUAAGCACCGGCUAACUCUGUGCCAGCAGCCGCGGUAAUACAGAGGGUGCAAGCGUUAAUCGGAAUUACUGGGCGUAAAGCGCGCGUAGGCGGUUACGUAAGUUGGAGGUGAAAUCCCCGAGCUCAACUUGGGAAUUGCCUUCAAAACUGCGUGGCUAGAGUGUGGGAGAGGAAGGUAGAAUUCCAGGUGUAGCGGUGAAAUGCGUAGAUAUCUGGAGGAAUACCGAUGGCGAAGGCAGCCUUCUGGCCUAACACUGACGCUGAGGUGCGAAAGCAUGGGGAGCAAACAGGA
Molecule: ribosomal RNA, 424 nt
Filed under: uncultured bacterium
Lineage: Bacteria
Description: bacterial SSU rRNA
Rfam family: Bacterial small subunit ribosomal RNA
Source: RNAcentral